RNAcentral lists this ribosomal RNA (501 nucleotides) under uncultured Sphingobacteriales bacterium. RNAcentral's name for it is "bacterial SSU rRNA". It matches the Rfam family "Bacterial small subunit ribosomal RNA", at positions 903 to 1382 of the family's 1533-position model. Lineage: Bacteria; Pseudomonadati; Bacteroidota; Sphingobacteriia; Sphingobacteriales. The record is from RNAcentral.
CGCCUUGCCAGCCCGCUCAGAAACUUAAAUGAAUUGACGGGGCCCGCACAAGCGGUGGAGCAUGUGGUUUAAUUCGAUGAUACGCGAGGAACCUUACCUGGGCUCAAAUGUAUGUUGACGUAUUCUGAAAGGGAUACUUCUUCGGACAAUAUACAAGGUGCUGCAUGGUUGUCGUCAGCUCGUGCCGUGAGGUGUCGGGUUAAGUCCCAUAACGAGCGCAACCCCUAUCAUUAGUUGCCAUCAGGUCAAGCUGGGGACUCUAAUGAAACUGCCUACGCAAGUAGUGAGGAAGGUGGGGAUGACGUCAAAUCAGCACGGCCCUUACGUCCAGGGCUACACACGUGCUACAAUGGCCGGUACAAAGGGCAGCUACCUGGUGACAGGAUGCUAAUCUCAAAAGCCGGUCUCAGUUCGGACCGGAGUCUGCAACCCGACUCCGUGAAGUCGGAAUCGCUAGUAAUCGUGAAUCAGAAUGUCACGGUGAAUACGUUCCCGGGCCUU